Molecule: ribosomal RNA, 52 nt
Filed under: Campylobacter coli
Lineage: Bacteria; Pseudomonadati; Campylobacterota; Epsilonproteobacteria; Campylobacterales; Campylobacteraceae
Description: partial 16S ribosomal RNA
Source: RNAcentral
GGCUUAGUCGUAACAAGGUAGCCGUAGAGAACCUGCGGUUGGAUCACCUCCU